This 1072-nucleotide long non-coding RNA is filed under the name Crocodylus porosus (Australian saltwater crocodile). RNAcentral describes it as "lncRNA (ENSCPRG00005018321.1)". Lineage: Eukaryota; Metazoa; Chordata; Crocodylia; Crocodylidae. The record is from RNAcentral.
CCAUUGCCAAGGGCAGGGCGGGUGUCUGUGCCCCACAGGGAGGCUGAAUGGACCCAGCUGGGCUGGAGGUAGGGUGGCACAUGCCUGGCUGUCUUCCUGCCUCCUUGCCGCUCCCCACUGCCACAGCCAGAGGAGAGCCGAGUGGGGACAAAGUGAAUGUGGGCUGCUCACUGUGGGCUUGGAGCCAUCAACUCUGUUGCCUUUCCCUCGGGAGACCCAUGCUGGCCAUAAGCCCUUUGCCCACCAGCAGCAGUAGAGGGGGUGAGUUGUGCCUCCUGCUGCCAGGCAGACAGGGGGCACAUGGCCAGCACAGAGCUCCUGAGGCAAAAGCAGAAAAGCGGAGAACCCUGAUCCCACAGGAAGGAGCCUGCAUUUUCCCUGUGCACAAAUAUGGGGGGUACAUAGCCCCUCCAUGCCUCCCCUGGGAGGUGUGCCCAGUGAUGGGGAGCCACCCAUCCUCCCUUCCCUUCCCAUACUCAUACAAGCCGCCCAUGGCUCCAUCCUGCCCCCCACCCCAACCCCGGUCCCAUGUACUGCACUGGCUGGACAGCAGGCCCAGCCUGACUCCCUCAUUCACUGUGGGGGCCUUGAUCUGCCCCCACAUACUCUUUCCUCACUUACCUGCAGGGGGCUGCUCUCCACACUGCCCAGCUGUUCUCCAUGCAAGCAGCAUCCCCUGCGUCUCCCUCUUGGCAGCCUCAAGAUGGACACCUUGGCCAGCUAGAAUGCUGUCUGCCUGUAGGGGAAACCCGCCAUUUCCUAAGGGAACCCAGGCAUGUGGGGGGGCCCUGACUGGCAGAGACCCCAUGGUCCUGUGUGUUAAUCCACUAUGAUCCUGCCCACAGCCCAUCUGGCUUUUUGGGGCUGGGCUGGUGCUCAUACCAGUGAGCACUGGCCUAGCCCUGCCUCCAGGGUUGUCAUAGAAAGGAGACAGAAAACCUCUGUCUCCUCUCUGCACAGGUAGGGAGGACCCACUGCUGGGUGUGCCCCACCCUUCCUCACCAGCUACCUCUCCUAAGCUUUGGGGAGAGACAGACCAGGCCCUUCCUUCCCCCACCCCUUGUGUGAGAAC